Molecule: transfer RNA, 83 nt
Filed under: Globodera rostochiensis
Lineage: Eukaryota; Metazoa; Nematoda; Chromadorea; Rhabditida; Heteroderidae
Rfam family: tRNA
About the family: Transfer RNA (tRNA) molecules are approximately 80 nucleotides in length.
Source: Rfam by way of RNAcentral
GGCGAGGUGGCCGAGUGGUCUAAGGCGACACGUUUAGGCCGUGUUCCACUUCGUGGGCGUGGGUUCGAAUCCCACCCUCGUCA